Molecule: transfer RNA, 78 nt
Filed under: Bacillota bacterium
Lineage: Bacteria; Bacillati; Bacillota
Also listed under: 1 other name
Description: tRNA-Met
Rfam family: tRNA
About the family: Transfer RNA (tRNA) molecules are approximately 80 nucleotides in length. Their secondary structure includes four short double-helical elements and three loops (D, anti-codon, and T loops).
Source: RNAcentral
UGCGGGGUGGAGCAGCUUGGUUAGCUCGUCGGGCUCAUAACCCGGAGGUCGCAGGUUCGAAUCCUGCCCCCGCUACCA